GAGUUUGAUCAUGGCUCAGAUUGAACGCUGGCGGCAGGCCUAACACAUGCAAGUCGAACGGUAACAGGAAGCAGCUUGCUGCCUCGCUGACGAGUGGCGGACGGGUGAGUAAUGUCUGGGAAGCUGCCUGAUGGAGGGGGAUAACUACUGGAAACGGUAGCUAAUACCGCAUAAUGUCGCAAGACCAAAGAGGGGGACCUUCGGGCCUCUUGCCAUCGGAUGUGCCCAGAUGGGAUUAGCUUGUUGGUGGGGUAACGGCUCACCAAGGCGACGAUCCCUAGCUGGUCUGAGAGGAUGACCAGCCACACUGGAACUGAGACACGGUCCAGACUCCUACGGGAGGCAGCAGUGGGGAAUAUUGCACAAUGGGCGCAAGCCUGAUGCAGCCAUGCCGCGUGUAUGAAGAAGGCCUUCGGGUUGUAAAGUACUUUCAGCGGGGAGGAAGGGAGUAAAGUUAAUACCUUUGCUCAUUGACGUUACCCGCAGAAGAAGCACCGGCUAACUCCGUGCCGGCAGCCGCGGUAAUACGGAGGGUGCAAGCGUUAAUCGGAAUUACUGGGCGUAAAGCGCACGCAGGCGGUUUGUUAAGUCAGAUGUGAAAUCCCCGGGCUCAACCUGGGAACUGCAUCUGAUACUGGCAAGCUUGAGUCUCGUAGAGGGGGGUAGAAUUCCAGGUGUAGCGGUGAGAUGCGUAGAGAUCUGGAGGAAUACCGGUGGCGAAGGCGGCCCCCUGGACGAAGACUGACGCUCAGGUGCGAAAGCGUGGGGAGCAAACAGGAUUAGAUACCCUGGUAGUCCACGCCGUAAACGAUGUCGACUUGGAGGUUGUGCCCUUGAGGUGUGGCUUCCGGAGCUAACGCGUUAAGUCGACCGCCUGGGGAGUACGGCCGCAAGGUUAAAACUCAAAUGAAUUGACGGGGGCCCGCACAAGCGGUGGAGCAUGUGGUUUAAUUCGAUGCAACGCGAAGAACCUUACCUGGUCUUGACAUCCACGGAAGUUUUCAGAGAUGAGAAUGUGCCUUCGGGAACCGUGAGACAGGUGCUGCAUGGCUGUCGUCAGCUCGUGUUGUGAAAUGUUGGGUUAAGUCCCGCAACGAGCGCAACCCUUAUCCUUUGUUGCCAGCGGUCCGGCCGGGAACUCAAAGGAGACUGCCAGUGAUAAACUGGAGGAAGGUGGGGAUGACGUCAAGUCAUCAUGGCCCUUACGACCAGGGCUACACACGUGCUACAAUGGCGCAUACAAAGAGAAGCGACCUCGCGAGAGCAAGCGGACCUCAUAAAGUGCGUCGUAGUCCGGAUUGGAGUCUGCAACUCGACUCCAUGAAGUCGGAAUCGCUAGUAAUCGUGGAUCAGAAUGCCACGGUGAAUACGUUCCCGGGCCUUGUACACACCGCCCGUCACACCAUGGGAGUGGGUUGCAAAAGAAGUAGGUAGCUUAACCUUCGGGAGGGCGCUUACCACUUUGUGAUUCAUGACUGGGGUGAAGUCGAAACAAGGUA
Molecule: ribosomal RNA, 1499 nt
Filed under: metagenome
Description: bacterial SSU rRNA
Rfam family: Bacterial small subunit ribosomal RNA
Source: RNAcentral